Non-coding RNA from Cordylochernes scorpioides, 105 nucleotides. The record is from the annotation of a GenBank genome assembly. NCBI's taxonomy places the organism in Eukaryota, Metazoa, Arthropoda, Arachnida, Pseudoscorpiones, Chernetidae.
AUGGUCAUGCCACAUUGAAAACUCCGGGUUUAGCGUCCCAUCACCAAAGUUAAGCAUUGACGGCUCCGGUCAGUACUUGAAAGGGUGACCAGCGGUUUCUAUUUC